RNA transcript from Neocloeon triangulifer, 2453 nucleotides. RefSeq lists it as uncharacterized. The transcript is spliced from 9 exons. NCBI's taxonomy places the organism in Eukaryota, Metazoa, Arthropoda, Insecta, Ephemeroptera, Baetidae. The record is from RefSeq and is a predicted model, not a curated record.
GACUUGUCGAAACUUGUUUGAGCAAUUCCUUUUCUUGUGUAACUGUAUUCAAUAAUCGCAAGCCUCCAUCUUAUUCGCUCCAUCUUCCAGAUAAUUAACUUCAUUUUACGACCAGAGUGGCGUCUGACGUGGGGUGCCGUCGUUUCUCUCUCUCUGCGCAGUUUUUCUUCCCUCGGACACGAAUGUGAUUUUCCACACCAAACACUUUCCCACACAGACACGCGGCCGUCGUCGCCGCUGCGGCUGCGAAUUCUUUCCGACGCAGUGUGCUGGGCAAGUCUUGUUUCUUUUUUUUUAUGCGUCGACGCUCGUCUGCGUCAGAGUGCCCUGCGUCUGCUUUUUUGGUCCAUCUCGGCCUCACGUCGCUGAAAAUUCCAGAGGCAAAGGAUAAUCUCUUGUUUGCGUCCAAGCUUGAGAAGGUGUCCGCAACCAUACACCCGCUUGACCUUGGCAGGUUGCAAGGUCAUGCUAGUUGGUCAUGGUGGAGCUGAAGAGAUUUUGCAUUUCAACAAAGCUACAUUGCUGACCAUUUGGCCUCAAUUUCGCCAAAUAAGUUUGGAGAAGAUUUGUGUUGCCUCGCCAAGCCAGCCUAGCUGUCUCAAGCCUGAACCGUGUUGGCCGAAUUUGCUGAAAAGCAGCCACUAAGAUUCUUCAAGAAUUCGUUCACCUCUCGAAGAUUUACCUCGAUCCACUUGAUAUAGAUAAUGCUUUGCUGAAAUUUUUAACCUUGCGAAUCGUUUUCGCAUCAAUUCCCUCAUCGGUUAUUGCGUGGAGAUUUGGAGCUCAACCUGUGUGUGAGGAUGAUCAUGUUUGGCUAUGUUCCUGAAUGCUGUGCUCGGUGAGACGGAGAAGGAAAACUACAAUGUGAAGAUAAAAUGUGCCAAGUAAGGUGCUUGGAGCAUCCCUCGUCUAUGAAAACAAGUGAGAAGAGCAUAAUUUCCAUGCUCCAGUUACAAGAUUUUAAUGUUACACUUUCGAGAAGCAACUCAUCGACUUCUGCGCUAAAUGGGCCAAACAGUUUCCAAGCAGCAGAUUUAAAGGUCAUGCGAGGGCUUCUUCCUCACCUGCGAGUCUUGACUCUGAAAGCCAGCCAAAGCUACAGAGCUCUCUGCCUUGCCUUUAUGACAAAGUCAAAACAUUUUGUUUUGGUGGACCUUGCAACCAGAAGCAGUUCUUCUGGCCAAGAGAGUCCUCUGCUCUGCCACCACGGCUCGGUCCCACCGUGGCUUAACAUUUGUGUCAUUUCUGGUUCGUCAAGUGUUCACCGUUGACCGCAUCAAGUCUCAUGCCCAAGAGAUACUCGACAAACGAGCAGAGAAGACCUUGACAAAUGUGGUCAACUUCUCCGUCAAAGAAGAUGUCAACCUAGCCAAGGGCCGAGUGCGCGGCGCAGAAGCUGGGGCGCCAGAGUGGGUCGCGCGCGCCUGCUGACGGCGUUCAGUGUCGGUGGGGCGACGCUUGCAGGCGGAUGGACACCCUGUACGCGGCCAGGGUGCACGGUUUUGCGGCCCCGGGGCUUGUCAACCUGACAGGCCUCGAGGGCCACGAAGGCCUCUUGUCGCUGGUGGCCGUCUCUCGCCGCGCUUGUCUUUGCUUUCAUCACUUACAUGUACAAUUUAAACUGAAAGAUUGGACCACGAUUUGUGUUGGUCGCUGGCGUUGGCGCUGCACUACAUGCGGCUGAGCGUGUUCUGCUGGCUGGCCGCGAUGACUUUUGACCUGUACUGCUGCUUCCGGGAGAACGCGUCGCUGGUGGCCGCCCUGCCGACGCCGCCCGCCCUGCGCCAGUCCUUCGCGCGCCUCUUGCUGUUUGCGUGGGGCGCCCCCUCCUCCCCACGCUGGCCGCCGACCUCCUGCAGAUGCGCCCCGCGGCCGCCGGCCUCUCCGACCCCAACUGCUGGUUCCUCGACGACAUGCCCGUGGCGGCCACUUUCGCCGUCCCGGCCGCCGCCCUCCUCGUCGCCGACCUCGCCUUCCUGGUGCGCGCCGCGGCCGUCGCUCGCGCGGCCGUCGGCCUCCAAAUUGAGCAGCGUGUCAAGGCCAAGAUGCUGCGCAGGCGACGGCUGCAGUUGUCGCUGUUUUUCUGGCUGGCUGCCUUCCUGGCCGUGGUCAGCGCCGUCGGAGUGUUCGGCCGCCUCAUUCACAGCCAACUGCUGCUGGCCGUGUUCAGCGUGGCCGCCGGUCUGCAGGGCCUGGUGAUGGCGCUCAGCGUGGCCUGCAGCUGCCGCGUCCUCAAACUGUACACGCGGCCGCCUCCCGCGGCCAGGCCGGGAGCGCUGCACAAGGCGCCCAGCGCCAUGCACCUCCUCCAGUGCGACGCCUCUCCGGUCUGAUUGUGAGACCACAAAAAUUUCAACUUUAACAUAAAUAAUCGUCUGCAUAUUACCCCCAUACAAUCCAUAAUUGUAAAACUAAAUGCAAUCUCUGAAUUAAUAAAUGUCGAAUUUGGUGUA